CCUACGUGUGGCAGCAGUGGGGAAUAUUGGGCAAUGGGCGCAAGCCUGACCCAGCAACGCCGCGUGAAGGAAGAAGGCCCUCGGGUUGUAAACUUCUUUUAUUCGGGACGAAACAAAUGACGGUACCGAAUGAAUAAGCCACGGCUAACUACGUGCCAGCAGCCGCGGUAAUACGUAGGUGGCAAGCGUUAUCCGGAUUUACUGGGUGUAAAGGGCGUGUAGGCGGGAGAGCAAUUCAGACGGGAAAUUCCAGGGCUUAACCCUGGAACUGCGUUUGAAACUGUUUUUCUUGAGUGCUGGAGAGGCAAUCGGAAUUCCGUGUGUAGCGGUGAAAUGCGUAGAUAUACGGAGGAACACCAGUGGCGAAGGCGGAUUGCUGGACAGUAACUGACGCUGAGGCGCGAAAGCGUGGGGAGCAAACAGGAUUAGAUACCCCAGUAGUC
RNAcentral lists this ribosomal RNA (443 nucleotides) under uncultured bacterium. RNAcentral describes it as "partial 16S ribosomal RNA". It matches the Rfam family "Bacterial small subunit ribosomal RNA", at positions 338 to 795 of the family's 1533-position model. The record is from RNAcentral.